Molecule: non-coding RNA, 193 nt
Filed under: Cycloclasticus sp. symbiont of Bathymodiolus heckerae
Lineage: Bacteria; Pseudomonadati; Pseudomonadota; Gammaproteobacteria; Thiotrichales; Piscirickettsiaceae
Description: 6S / SsrS RNA
Rfam family: 6S / SsrS RNA
About the family: E. coli 6S RNA was the first non coding RNA to be sequenced, but its function was unknown until recently. It consists of 184 nucleotides that fold into an extended hairpin structure with a large single-stranded internal bulge.
Source: Rfam by way of RNAcentral
CGUUCCCUGCAGUGUUUGAACUAAGGUGAAAUGCCCUUGGACCUAAUGACCUACUCGGGAAGACAGAUCACUUUGCUGGUGUGCACGCUUUAAUAGUCAACGACUAUUAGAGAAGCCUAAUGCAAAUGUCCGACUCCCACUUGAACCUCUCGGUUUAAGGUAGAAACCUGAAUGCGGCAUCAGCGGGGAACGU